RNAcentral lists this long non-coding RNA (913 nucleotides) under Daphnia magna. RNAcentral describes it as "uncharacterized LOC123476954, transcript variant X2". The record is from RNAcentral. Lineage: Eukaryota; Metazoa; Arthropoda; Branchiopoda; Diplostraca; Daphniidae.
AGCCAUCGUCAUUCAAAUGACGUUCCGGACGGAACACUUCCGGAUCUUUCCAGUACUUGGAAUCCUGGAAUACAGCAUGCAGAUUCAGGCUGACCAAACUUCCCUGGUCAUCAUUGGAAAAAAUACUAUACAUAAUGAGGAGGAGUGAGUGGUGCAAUGGUGCUGCAACGUUGAGCUUCCAUCAGAACUGAUUCAGUAUAAGGUAGACGUCUAUGAAAUCACCAGCUUCAUCGUCUGAUGGAUUUCGUUGUUGAUGAUCUUCAAUAGUUUCCUAUCUCCAACUUCGCCCAUCAUCUGAUCUUCAAUGGAAGUUUUGCCGAACCCCAAGUCUCUGAGAUGUCUCAUAGUGAAUUGACGCUGUUCUUGCCAAAAUUGACCCAUGACAAACAUAAUGCCUGGAGAUGGAUUCCCCAACAGCCAUCAUGACAGCUGAAUCUGGGCGACCGUUAAGGUCGUCAUUAAGCAUCGCUUCUUUCAUCGCUUCGUGACUGCAAACGGAAAUAACAGGCCUGCUGGGCCCCACGUACAAUCCCACCACAGGUCCGUAUACUUCGCUAAUUUUUUUCAUUGCCUUGUGUGGAUAUUGCGGAUCCCACGAUGAAAAAAAGGCAAAUAGCCUACCAGAGGUCAAUUUUCAGUUUUACCUGGUGGAAAGUUAUGUGGGCGUUUCGUCAUUUUUAAGAUGAAACCGAUGAGCAGAAUCGUUGCACAAAGUUCAAAAAUCAUUCUGUUUCGAUUUUCAGAAUGAAUCUCUCUGAAUUGACGAAUUGACGAAAUAAUCAAAAUGUAUUACUUCGGUCAAUAUUCCCAAUUGCGAUGCUUUAAUGUAUUACACGACAUUUUUUGUAUGUUUUGCUAUAUUGUAAACCAAUAGUGAAAUAACAAUAAAAUAAACUGACACACAACACUUGUA